Saimiri boliviensis boliviensis (Bolivian squirrel monkey) is the source of this 104-nucleotide small nuclear RNA. NCBI's taxonomy places the organism in Eukaryota, Metazoa, Chordata, Mammalia, Primates, Cebidae. The record is from Ensembl.
AUGCUCACUUCAGCAGCACAUAUACUAAAAUUGGAACAAUACAAAGAUUAGCAUGGCCCUUGCGCAAGGAUGACAUGCAAAUUCGUGAAGCAUUCCGUAUUUUU